AUUGAACGCUGGCGGCAGGCCUAACACAUGCAAGUCGAACGGUAACAGGAAGCUGCUCGCUGCUUCGCUUACCAGUGGCGGACGGGUGAGAAAUGACUGGGCACCUGCCUGAUGGAGGGGGCUAACUACUGGAAACGGUAGCUACUACCGCCUAACGUCGCAAGACCAAAGAGGGGGACCUUAGGGCCUCUUGCCAUCGGCUGUGCCCAGGUGGGAUUAGCUAGUAGGUGGGGUAACGGCUCACCUAGGCGACGAUCUGUAGCUGGUCUGAGAGGACGACCAGCCACACUGGGACUGAGACACGGUCCAGACUCCUACGGGAGGCAGCAGUGGGGAAUAUUGGACAAUGGGCGAAAGCCUGAUGCAGCCAUGCCGCGUGUAUGAAGAAGGCCUUCGGGUUGUAAAGUACUUUUAGCGGGGAGGAAGAGAGUAAUGUUAAUACCAUGGCUCAUUGACGGUACCCGCAGAAGAAGCACCGGCUAACUCCGUG
Molecule: ribosomal RNA, 490 nt
Filed under: uncultured bacterium
Lineage: Bacteria
Description: partial 16S ribosomal RNA
Rfam family: Bacterial small subunit ribosomal RNA
Source: RNAcentral